Molecule: long non-coding RNA, 1449 nt
Organism: Pan troglodytes (chimpanzee)
Lineage: Eukaryota; Metazoa; Chordata; Mammalia; Primates; Hominidae
Exons: 2
Source: RefSeq, a predicted model, not a curated record
CUGGCCCUCCUUCCCCCCGCAGCCUGGCGGCCGCUCGAUCGGCACCUCCCCCCGCCGGAAUCGCCCAGCUCCCCCCGGGAGCGCCCGCCGCCUCUGCUCCCCAGACCUCAGCUGUGACCACGCAACGCUCUGCCAGGAAGGCGGACUCCGCGACUCGGGCCAUGGUGGAAAAUGACAGUUAAAGUGCGUUAAAAUUAAGAACUUAUACUUUGAUUAAAAAACAACAAACGGAGUGAAAAAGCAAGCCACACACUGAAAGAAGAUACUUGCAGCAAUUGAUAAAGGAUUAGUAUCCAGGAUAUAUACUUUUAAUGAAUUAGUGUGAAAGAGAGGAACACCCAAAGCAAAGAAUGGACACAGACAUGAAUAGGCACUUCAAAGAGGAACCACUAACGACCAAAAUCAUACUGUGGAACUGAUGUUAGACAAAAAGUGAAUUCCGGUGAUUUUCUUAUUUGAGUUCAAAUUGGGUCAUAAAGCGGCCAAGACAACUUGCAACAUCAGCAAUGCAUUUGGCCCUGGAACUUCUAAGGAAUGUACAGUGUAGUGGUGGUUCAAGAAAUUUUGCAAAGGAGACAAGAGCCUUGAAGAUGAGGAACAUAGAGACUGGCCAUUGGAAGUUGACAACAACCAACUGAGAGCAGUUAUCAAAGCUGAUCUUCUUACAAUGACACGAUAAGUUGCCAAAGAAUUCAGCGUCAACUGUUCUGCAGUCAUUUGGCAUUUGAAGCAAAUUGGAAUGGUGAAAAAGUUCGAUAAGUGGGUGCCUCAUGAGCUAAGCAAAAAUUUAAAAAAUUGUCAUUUUGAAGUGUCGUCUUAUCUUAUUCUACACAAUAAUGAAUCAUUUCUCAAACCGCUUGUGACGUGUGACAAAAAGUGGAAUUCAUAUGACAACCAGUGAUGACUACCUCAGUGGCUGGACCAAGAAGAAGCUCCAAAGCACUUUCCAAAGGCAAACUUGCACCAGAAAAAGGUCAUGGUCAUGGUUUGGUGGUCUGCUGCUGGUCUGAUACACUAUAGCUUUCUGAAUUCUGGCAAAACCGCUACAUCUAAGAAGUAUGCUCAGCACAUGGUUGAGAUGCACCAAAAACUGCAAUGCCUGCAGCUGGCAUUGAUCAACAGAAAGGGCCCAAUUCUCCAUGACAAUGCUGGACUGCACAUCACAACUCUUCCAAAGUUGAAGGAAUUGGACUACAGAGUUUUGCCUCAUCUGCCAUAUUCACCUGACUUCUUGCCAACCAACUACCACUUAUUCGAACAUCUCGACAACUUUUUGCAGGGAAAAUCAUUUCACAACCAGCAGGAUGCAGAAAAUGCUUUCCAAGAGUUCGUCCAAUCCCAAAGCAUGGAUUUUUACACUGCAGGAAUAAACAAAUUUGUUUCUCAUUGGCAAAAAUGUGUUGAUUGUAAUGGUUUCCGUUUUGAUUAAUAAAGAUGUCUUUGAGCCUA